RNAcentral lists this ribosomal RNA (465 nucleotides) under uncultured bacterium. RNAcentral's name for it is "partial 16S ribosomal RNA". It matches the Rfam family "Bacterial small subunit ribosomal RNA", at positions 28 to 507 of the family's 1533-position model. The record is from RNAcentral.
GACGAACGCUGGCGGCGUGCUUAACACAUGCAAGUCGUACGGUAAGGCCCUUUCGGGGGUACACGAGUGGCGCACGGGUGAGUAACACGUGAGUAACCUGCCCACAACUUUGGGAUAACGCUAGGAAACUGGUGCUAAUACUGGAUAUGUGCUCCUGCUGCAUGGUGGGGGUUGGAAAGCUCCGGCGGUUGUGGAUGGACUCGCGGCCUAUCAGCUUGUUGGUGGGGUAGUGGCCUACCAAGGCGGCGACGGGUAGCCGGCCUGAGAGGGUGACCGGCCACAUUGGGACUGAGAUACGGCCCAGACUCCUACGGGAGGCAGCAGGGGGGAAUAUUGCACAAUGGGCGCAAGCCGGAUGCAGCAACGCCGCGUGCGGGAUGACGGCCUUCGGGUUGUAAACCGCUUUCAGCAGGGACGAAGCUUUUUGUGACGGUACCUGCAGAAGAAGCACCGGCUAACUACGUG